RNAcentral lists this ribosomal RNA (253 nucleotides) under uncultured bacterium. Its description in RNAcentral is "partial 16S ribosomal RNA". It matches the Rfam family "Bacterial small subunit ribosomal RNA", at positions 524 to 776 of the family's 1533-position model. The record is from RNAcentral.
UACGUAGGUGGCAAGCGUUAUCCGGAAUUAUUGGGCGUAAAGCGCUCGCAGGCGGUCUUUUAAGUCUGAUGUGAAAGCCCACGGCUCAACCGUGGAGGGUCAUUGGAAACUGGGAGACUUGAGUGCAGAAGAGGAGAGUGGAAUUCCACGUGUAGCGGUGAAAUGCGUAGAGAUGUGGAGGAACACCAGUGGCGAAGGCGACUCUCUGGUCUGUAACUGACGCUGAGGAGCGAAAGCGUGGGGAGCGAACAGG